This is a long non-coding RNA of Triplophysa rosa, 487 nucleotides long. RefSeq lists it as uncharacterized. The record is from RefSeq and is a predicted model, not a curated record. Lineage: Eukaryota; Metazoa; Chordata; Actinopteri; Cypriniformes; Nemacheilidae. The transcript has 2 exons.
CAGAGACGGUCACCAUGCACCAAAUGAUCUCAAUAGUGGUGUGCUUCAUUUUCAUCAUAAUCGUGACGGUCACAGUCUUCAUCUACAGAGAAAAAACCGCCAGACCUCUCCACGGACAUACAUACAUCAACUCUAAAUCUUAAAUCAAAACCUAAAUCUUCAUCAUUUUAUCACUUUAUAUCAAGUGUAACCCUGUAUUCAAUGAUAAGAUGAUUGGAUUCAUUUCUGAUAAUAUUACAUAAUGGAAUAUUAUAUAAUAUAAAGUCAAAUUUAUUUUUAUCUUUAUUUUUUAUAUUUAAAUAUUUUAAAUGCAUGUUUUGUCAUCAUUUUACUCAUAAUAUUUACAAUCAUAGUAUCCAUAUUUACAUUUUUGGCAUCAUUGGCUACUUCUAAAAUUGGUACUUGCUGUGUUUUUGUGAAUGAUUUUGUCAUUAUAUAAUAAUACUUCUCAAAAUGCUCAUAAUAAAGAUGCAAUAUUUUUACUGUG